AUAAAAUUAGCUUAUAAAAAGCCUUUAAAUGUUAAUUAAAAGAUAAUUGAAAAUUAUUUUAUA
RNAcentral lists this transfer RNA (63 nucleotides) under Achatinella sowerbyana. Its description in RNAcentral is "tRNA-Asn". The record is from RNAcentral. Lineage: Eukaryota; Metazoa; Mollusca; Gastropoda; Stylommatophora; Achatinellidae.